RNAcentral lists this small RNA (125 nucleotides) under Marmota monax (woodchuck). Lineage: Eukaryota; Metazoa; Chordata; Mammalia; Rodentia; Sciuridae. The record is from RNAcentral.
GCCAGGUAUGGUGGCGCUCACCUGUAAUCCCUGCAGCUCAUGAGGCUGAGUCAGGAGGAUCUCGAGUUGAAAGCCAACCUCAGCAGCCAUGAGGCACUAAGCAACUCAGUGAGACCCUGUCUCUA